UUGGAGGGCAAGUCUGGUGCCAGCAGCCGCGGUAAUUCCAGCUCCAAUAGCGUAUAUUAAAGUUGUUGCAGUUAAAAAGCUCGUAGUUGAACCUCGGGGUCUACCCAUUGGUCAGGCUUAAUUGUCUGCACUGGUGAGAUGGAUCUCUACCUUCUGAGGAACUUUCGUGCCAUCCAUUUGGUGUGAUGGGAAAUCAGGACUGUUACUUUGAAAAAAUUAGAGUGUUUAAAGCAGACUAUCGUCUGAAUACAUUAGCAUGGAAUAAUGAAAUAGGACGGACUGAUUCUAUUUCGUUGGUUUCUAGGAUCACCGUAAUGAUUAAUAGGGAUAGUUGGGGGCAUUAGUAUUCAAUUGUCAGAGGUGAAAUUCUUGGAUUUAUUGAAGACUAACUACUGCGAAAGCAUUUGCCAAGGAUGUUUUCAUUAAUCAAGAACGAAAGUUAGGGGAUCGAAGACGAUCAGAUACCGUCGUAGUCUUAACCAUAAACUAUGCCGACUAGGGAUCGGACGUAGUUAAUUUUAUAAUGACGCGUUCGGCGCCUUACGGGAAAC
RNAcentral lists this ribosomal RNA (551 nucleotides) under uncultured Diversisporaceae. RNAcentral describes it as "SSU rRNA". It matches the Rfam family "Eukaryotic small subunit ribosomal RNA", at positions 548 to 1098 of the family's 1831-position model. The record is from RNAcentral. Lineage: Eukaryota; Fungi; Glomeromycota; Glomeromycetes; Diversisporales.